AACGAACGCUGGCGGCAGGCUUAACACAUGCAAGUCGAACGCCCCGCAAGGGGAGUGGCAGACGGGUGAGUAACGCGUGGGAAUCUACCGUACCCUACGGAACAACAGUUGGAAACGACUGCUAAUACCGUAUUCGCCCUACGGGGGAAAGAUUUAUCGGGGUAUGAUGAGCCCGCGUUGGAUUCGCUAGUUGGUGGGGUAAAGGCCUACCAAGGCGACGAUCCAUAGCUGGUCUGAGAGGAUGAUCCGCCACAUCGGGACUGAGACACGGCCCAAACUCCGAAGGGAGGCAGCAGUGUGGAAUAUGUGACGAUGGGCGCAAGCCUGAUCCAGGCAGGCCGCGUGAGUGAUGAAGUUCUUAGGAUUAUAAAGCUCUUUCACCGAGGAGGAUAAUGACGGUAGUCGGAGAAGAAGCCCCGGCUAACUUCGUGCCAGCCGCCGCCGUAA
Molecule: ribosomal RNA, 447 nt
Filed under: uncultured bacterium
Lineage: Bacteria
Description: partial 16S ribosomal RNA
Rfam family: Bacterial small subunit ribosomal RNA
Source: RNAcentral